AUGAUGGCUGUGUGUGUGCUGGUCAACAGUGAUGACAGCAGCUCUGAGGCAGAGCCAGACUGCAGUGGCAGCGAGGCCUCCAGUGCAGAGCCCCGUGAGGAAAGACCCCGGCGGCCAGAGCCCCCACCCCUACCGCAGCCCCUCACCAGGCACAGCUCCCUGAGGGAGGCCCCGACCAGAGAAGUCUCUCCACACUGCCCUGAGGAGCCCCAAGCUGUGCAAGGUGAGCGGACAGCCUGCCUGGAUGGGAGCCAGGCUUGCUUGAUCCUGGGGCACAGGGAGGGAGCGGAGACACCCCCCCCCCCCGCCCGGCAACUGUUUCCUCACGGAGAAUGAGGGGCCAGUAGGCCCAGCCCUCAGGCUCAGAGGCAGUGAGGCCAGGGUAUAUGUGGGGGUGAGGGGACUGGACCCAGGCCCAGCCUCUUGCUCCAUAAGAAGAUUUGGAAUCUCAAGUGGGGUGUAUGGCAGAGGGGCCUGACUGACUGGCUGCGGUGUGUCCCGGGCUGGCAGAGAUAAGGGGGGCCCCGGCACCCUCUCGCCUAGAGCAGUCUCCUCUUUGAUAUCUCUUUAGAGCAUUCCAUAGCCCCGCUAGAGAAAGAUGUGGCUCAGUGCAUGGACCACAGCCAUCUGGGUGGCACAGCUUCCCUGGGGGCCCCUGGGGACAGCACAGGGCCAUCAGCCGUGCUUGGGACACGUGGCACGCACUAAAACUUGACCUGCGCAGGAAUAAAUACACUCUCACUAAGUACCUGUUUGGUUUUCCCAAACAUGGCCCCAUGGCAUCCUCAGGACAACCCCGCUGGGGUCGGUAAGCUCACCAUUUUACCUGUGAGCAAACACACUGUGUUUUCCCUAGGUCUCACGGCUGGUAAUCGGUGUGGCUCCGUGCUGGGGCCCUCCGCACCCUAAAAAGUCGUUGCCUUUAGCAGCCCAGCUUGUGUUAAUAAAGGUGGCCUUGAAUUGAAUGUUUUGAUUCAGUCAACAGUAACUUGUGACCUCGGGGCUGGGAAGAAGCAGGCUCACUGAAACUUCCCACCUGAGGCACCAACAGCUUCACUGCCCUGGGAGAGCGGGUACUCAGCUUGUCCUGCACACCCCUCUGGUGGCCGAGAGCAGAACUUCCGCCUGAACCGAGAAACAAUCUCCCAAGGCUUGGUUUCACAGGAAAACCCGAGCGGGGCCGGCCUCCUGGAAGUUCUGGAUUUACCCUCCCCUGUGAGCCUUUUUAAAAAAGGGCACAUUGGGGCGCCUGGGUGGCUCAGUGGGUUAAGUGUCCAACUUCAGCUCAGGUCGUGAUCUCGCAGUUUGUGAGUUCAAGCUCUGCGUCUGACUCCGGGCUGACAGCUCAGAACCUGGAGCCUGCUUCAGAUUCUGUGUCUCCUUCUCUCUCUCUGCCCCUCCCCCACUUAUGCUCUGUUUCUCUCUCUCUCUCCCUCUCCCUCUCCCUCUCCCUCUCCCUCUCCCUCUCCCUCUCCCUCUCUCCCCCCAAAAUAAACAUUUAAAAAAAACUUAAAAGUUAUUUUUAAAUAAGACAAAUUGUCAUCAGGACGUACUUGUUAAAAACCACUGUGGUGCCGUCCAAAAGGCUAAGCAUAUGCAGGGGACAGAGCGCUAGCUGUGCUGUGCCCAGCUGAGUGCAGACUGCCUCUGUCUGGUUAUGUGUGGCCUCUGUCUCCUCUCCCUGGGCUCCGGCCUCCUCCUUUAUAGAUAUGAAGCCUGCCUGCCUUUCAUCCCCUCCCUCCAUUUUCUCCUCUCUCCUCAGUUGCCAGGGGAUUUUAGACAAGUUAUAAAAAAGACAUAAUACAAAAUUACAUGUCACUCUCUAUAAAAGAUAAAUCCCCAAGGUCAAGGUUAACAAAACCAGUUUAGGAGUUAGAGACUCCAGCGAGGCAGGCUGUAGUCCUAAAUGGUUGCUCUAGUGGGAUCAUGAAUUUCAUUCUGAGUUUUCUGGCAGCCAGAGUUUGAAAGGAAACACAAUUAUUAUUCAUAAUAAUAUUCAUAAUUCAAAACAAUGUAUUGGCUUGUAGCAAGUUUCAGAUCUGGUACCACUUUUCCUAGUGCUUCACUCUGUAGAAAUUGUCCAGCUCAUGUUAAAUAGAUGGCAUUGAGGGAUUCAGGAGUCCCUGUCUUGAGCGAGGCUGUCUCAUGCAACAGCCCUGGCUGGCAGGUGAGGGCAUGGUGGCAAAACAUGGCUCAGCAGGAACACUUCUUCCAAGGGGACAGGGCUGCGUCAAGUCAACAAGGCAGUGUGGCCAACGCAUUUUGUUCCUGACAGUCUAGUUUGAUUCCAGAAUGAAAUACAGAGUAGACAGAGAAGUGGAUAGAUGGCAUGACGUCCAGGCAAUCUUUUAUUGAUUUCGCCUCCAUGCAUCAUGUUUUUGAUCGUUGCUAGGCAGACCACAUUGUAAGGUUAAGAUCUCUGGUACCAUCGAAGUGUGGUGUUUUGUGUUGCUAGUUAUGGUGAGUCUGUUAUUUUGCGAGAUAAUAUAGGGUUGUUAUGUUGUGCAUGUUAAUGGAGCUUCAUGAAUCACAAUGUUCCCUUGGAUAAAUGGCUCAGAGCUGAGCUGAGGGAAUGCCAAACAAAGCCGAGAUACUGCUUUAAGAAGACUCCUGGUUUGCACACCUAUGCCCAUCCGGCGUUAUUUACAAUUGCCAAAGGGGGAAAUGCCCCCAAGUUCAACAACAGGUGACCAGAUAAACAAAGUGUGCGAUAUUCAUAUAAUGGAAUGUUAUUCAGUGUUAAAAAGGAAUGAAAUUCUGACACACUGCCACAUGGAUGAACCUAAGCCAGACACAAAAGGACAAGCAUUGUAUGAUUCCACUUCUACGAGGUCCCUAGAAUAGCCAGAUUCAUAGAAAGAGAAAGCAGAAUGGUGAUGACUGGAGGGGGUGGGGCGGAUAGGAGUGUGGGGAGUGACAGCUUAAUGAGUAUCAGUUUGGGAUGUAGAAAAAGUUCUGGAAAUGGAUGGUGGCGAUGGUUACACACUGUGAAUGUCCCUAAGGCCCCUGAGCUGUAGACUUUAAAAUGGUUAAAGUGGUAACUUUAUGUUACAUAUAUUUUACCACAAUUUAGAGAAAGACUUCUGGGACUACCUUGGCUCAUCAAGGAACCUAUUGUAUCUUCAAAGUUCUUCAGCAUAGAGCCUGACCAAGAUGAUGGCCUGAUAUAGAAUUUAAGCCCUGUGGGGGUGCCUGGGUGGCUCAGUCAGUUAAGCACCUGACUUCAGCUCAGGUCAUGAUCUUGCGGUCUGUGAGUUCGAGCCCCAUGUCAGGCUCUGCGCUGACAGCUCAGAGCCUGGAGCCUACUUCAGAUUCUGUGUGUGUGUCUCUCUCUCUGCCCCUCCCUGUUCAUGCUCUGCCUCUCUCUCUCAAAAAUAAAUAAUAAAACAUUAAAAAAAAAUUUAAGCCCUGUGUUAUCGAGGUUCAGUGGAAAAUGUGCAGUAACGCUCCCCUAAGACACCUAGUUCAGUGGUUCUUAAAAAUCUUGUUUGAAAGGCAGAUAUCUAGGUCACCACCUUCAAGAGAUUCAGAUUCAGUGGAUCUCAGUGAAUCAAGAGAUUCAGAUUCAGUGGAGUAGAGCCAAGUGUCUGCAUUUUAUGUAAGUGCCCCAGCUCCUUCCAUGCAGGAGGGCCACGACCUACACGUUGGGGAAUCACAGAGGAGCAGCUCAAGAGAGACUGUCUGCGUAAGUGUGUUGUAAAAUGC
Long non-coding RNA from Panthera leo (lion), 3705 nucleotides. The record is from Ensembl. Lineage: Eukaryota; Metazoa; Chordata; Mammalia; Carnivora; Felidae.